CCCACCUGGAGGACCAGCCGAUGUGGAUAUGCUGUUUAUCACUCAGGUGACAGGGGAGUGCCCCAGUGGCAGUGGAUAGGGCAGGAAACUGCACCUAGCCCCUGGCCUUGGUGCUACUUACAGAGCUGGAGAGGGGGUAGCAACAGUAAAGGGAACAGCGGGGCAUGUGAAAACUCUACACCUUUGUGAUAAACGCAGGAGCCUUGAGACACAGGGACCUUGAGAGGGCUGGGACAUGCAGAUACAGACUGUUUCCCUCAUUCCUUAUGGCUGCUGGCCAGUCAGCCAUUUGUUCCCUGAUGUUGCAGAGGGACCACGUCCUGAGUUACCUGACACUCCACACUGACAUUGCUCCUCCACCUUACAAUCUUUGCAUUAGUCCUCCUGGUCAGGGAGUCCCUGGGUGAUCCUGGCACGUUGCAUCCAUAUGCUGCAAAUACAGUACAGGCUACUACUCCUCCAGAAGAACAGAAUAAAGUGAAGGCCAAGGAAGACAUGACUCAUCUUACCUGACCAGACAAGUCCUAAGAAUCUGACAAAGAAGCCAGGACCCUGCUUGUGUGGGGAUAUGGAAGUCUCUUCCCACCUGAUCUAAGGGAGACGAGGGAGUGGGAUCUGAGGCUGGAACAGAGAGGCUGUUGGCUGAUUCUUCUAAAGCAGGGUUAGAUGGAAUCCCUGAAGUAUCACCAUCUUGAUAUGGGAUUGUUAUAUCCAAUUCAACCAUCUAGUCCUGGCAACAAGUCCAUUCAGCCAAACCUUUGAGUCUCGUUUCAGGAGGUGGCAGUGCAGACGGGCUUCUAAAAUGAGGCCUAUGCUAUGUAAACAAGCAACCAGGUGUGAAAACAGAAAGAAUGUAAAGGUUAAUGAACACAGCAGAUCAAAAACUAGCUUCUGAGUCUGCAAGAAUGUCAGAUGAGAAGACUUCCAAACGCAGGUCUUUUGCUGAAAUGAAAUUAAGCAGUGACAAUCUGAUAGAUCCUCUUUGCACUUUAAAUGUCUCUGCUGAUGUCAUCAGGUACUCAGGCAAAUUCUGUAUGGCAGCUACUGCAUAAGUACUUCUCAUAAUUCUAAAGCAAAGGAUGAAAGAAAAAUAAAAUUCUAGUUUGAAAGAAAACUAGAAAAAUUCAGGAUCCAGUCUAGUUAAUAGUUAAAUAAAAUUUUACAGACAUUCACUGUAUUAAGUCUAAUUUCCAUAAUUGUAUAUAAUAGCUUUUAUUGAAAGGUAUUUUCUCUAAAAUCACUGUCAUUUUUAUUAGAGCCAAAUCAAGACCAAUUUAUUUACUGCAUUAAGUCUAGUUUCAGUUUGGCUCGAUUAUUUGCAGAAACGUAACAGGACUAGGAACUGAUCAUACAAGCUUUCUUAAAUCUACUUUGCUGGAACAGUACAAAGAAUUCCUAGGUAGAGCUUUAGCCCCUCAAGUUCUCGAGGUCCCCAAAAUGUCUUGAGGUUCCUUCCUUGCCAUCUUACAGGAAAGCAACUUUCGCUCCUUACCUGGAAAGAGUGCCAUGAACCACGUGACCAAGCAAGGUACCCGGCUGUUUCUCCAAGGGCUCUUAUUGGCUUCAAAAGUCAAUCUCAAUUCCUUUAGGUUUUCGGGUGACACCCAGAGCCCAGGCAUGACUCUUUUAAUCAUGACAUUCCAGACAAAGACUUGGUUAAUAAAACCACAAUUGGAAAUUGGCUUUAUGUGACAUUUUAUAAAGAAAUCAGAUUCUUACUGGAUUCAUGCAAACAAACAUAUGGAAAGAGUAACAGCACACUUAAUUAAGACUUCCAAAUUCCAGAGGGAUCUGGUAGGGAGAAAAAUACAAUUGCUUCAAAAUUGCUUAUGAAAGUGUAGUUUUAAGAGAAAAAAUAUUUUCUUUUUUUAAAUUUAAAUUAUUUUAUUGUUCAGUUACAGUUGUCUGUAUUUUCUCCCCACCCCUCCCCCCAACCCUCUCCAAACCCACUUUCCUCCCUUGCUUCCACCCUCCCCCUUGGUUUUUUGUCCAUGUGUCAAAAAAGGCUUUCUUAUGUCUAGAAAACAAAAAAUUAAAAGUUAACAGUAUUUUUCAACAAAAAGUUAUAAAACUCACAAUUAUCUUCAAUUUAUUGUGUCCCAUAAUUAGUUUCUGUUACUCUGAUCAUCUGCAAGCACCUCGAUAAAUCCACUUACUUUAUGGAGCUCCAGCAGUCUCUACAUAGUUCAAAGAGACAGAGAAGAAGGGAGAGAGAAACACCAGUAUGAGAGAAGCAUUGAUGGGUUGCCUCUGUACGCACCCAGAUGGAGGAUUGUGCCUGGACCAGAUCUCUGGCAUUGAGAGAUGUCUUUCCAAUUGGCAGCGGACAGACGAACCCAGCAGUUGCAACACCAAAGACUGUGGUCCAGGCUCUGAGGAUCUAUCUCAGUUCAUCUGUUCCGGCCUCUUCUUCUACCUCUCCCUGAGCUGCAGCCACACAGUACCACUGUGUUCUCCUGGGAUAUGAACUUGGACAACACUCAGUCUCUGCAAGGGGCUCAAACUCCUUGCCCUCUGUAUCUAUGAGAGUUGGUUCACACCCACUUCCUGUACUUCUGGACUUUCACUUGGAUAAAUAAAAAUAUAUAAUUCUGGAA
Long non-coding RNA from Artibeus jamaicensis (Jamaican fruit-eating bat), 2597 nucleotides. RefSeq lists it as uncharacterized. NCBI's taxonomy places the organism in Eukaryota, Metazoa, Chordata, Mammalia, Chiroptera, Phyllostomidae. The record is from RefSeq and is a predicted model, not a curated record. The transcript is spliced from 4 exons.